GAUUGAACGCUGGCGGCAGGCCUAACACAUGCAAGUCGAGCGGCGGCACAGAGAGCUUGCUCUCGGGUGACGAGCGGCGGACGGGUGAGUAAUGUCUGGGAAACUGCCUGAUGGAGGGGGAUAACUACUGGAAACGGUAGCUAAUACCGCAUAAUGUCGCAAGACCAAAGUGGGGGACCUUCGGGCCUCAUGCCAUCAGAUGUGCCCAGAUGGGAUUAGCUAGUAGGUGGGGUAACGGCUCACCUAGGCGACGAUCCCUAGCUGGUCUGAGAGGAUGACCAGCCACACUGGAACUGAGACACGGUCCAGACUCCUACGGGAGGCAGCAGUGGGGAAUAUUGCACAAUGGGCGCAAGCCUGAUGCAGCCAUGCCGCGUGUGUGAAGAAGGCCUUCGGGUUGUAAAGCACUUUCAGCGGGGAGGAAGGCGGUGAGGUUAAUAACCUCAUCGAUUGACGUUACCCGCAGAAGAAGCACCGGCUAACUCCGUGCCAGCAGCCGCGGUAAUACGGAGGGUGCAAGCGUUAAUCGGAAUUACUGGGCGUAAAGCGCACGCAGGCGGUCUGUCAAGUCGGAUGUGAAAUCCCCGGGCUUAACCUGGGAACUGCAUUCGAAACUGGCAGGCUAGAGUCUUGUAGAGGGGGGUAGAAUUCCAGGUGUAGCGGUGAAAUGCGUAGAGAUCUGGAGGAAUACCGGUGGCGAAGGCGGCCCCCUGGACAAAGACUGACGCUCAGGUGCGAAAGCGUGGGGAGCAAACAGGAUUAGAUACCCUGGUAGUCCACGCCGUAAACGAUGUCGAUUUGGAGGUUGUGCCCUUGAGGCGUGGCUUCCGGAGCUAACGCGUUAAAUCGACCGCCUGGGGAGUACGGCCGCAAGGUUAAAACUCAAAUGAAUUGACGGGGGCCCGCACAAGCGGUGGAGCAUGUGGUUUAAUUCGAUGCAACGCGAAGAACCUUACCUGGUCUUGACAUCCACAGAACUUUCCAGAGAUGGAUUGGUGCCUUCGGGAACUGUGAGACAGGUGCUGCAUGGCUGUCGUCAGCUCGUGUUGUGAAAUGUUGGGUUAAGUCCCGCAACGAGCGCAACCCUUAUCCUUUGUUGCCAGCGGUCCGGCCGGGAACUCAAAGGAGACUGCCAGUGAUAAACUGGAGGAAGGUGGGGAUGACGUCAAGUCAUCAUGGCCCUUACGACCAGGGCUACACACGUGCUACAAUGGCAUAUACAAAGAGAAGCGACCUCGCGAGAGCAAGCGGACCUCAUAAAGUAUGUCGUAGUCCGGAUUGGAGUCUGCAACUCGACUCCAUGAAGUCGGAAUCGCUAGUAAUCGUAGAUCAGAAUGCUACGGUGAAUACGUUCCCGGGCCUUGUACACACCGCCCGUCACACCAUGGGAGUGGGUUGCAAAAGAAGUAGGUAGCUUAACCUNUCGGGAGGGCGCUUACCACUUUGUGAUUCAUGACUGGGGUGAAGUCGUAACAAGG
This 1478-nucleotide ribosomal RNA is filed under the name uncultured bacterium. Its description in RNAcentral is "bacterial SSU rRNA". It matches the Rfam family "Bacterial small subunit ribosomal RNA". The record is from RNAcentral.